RNAcentral lists this ribosomal RNA (153 nucleotides) under uncultured fungus. RNAcentral describes it as "5.8S ribosomal RNA". It matches the Rfam family "5.8S ribosomal RNA". From Rfam's summary of the family: 5.8S ribosomal RNA (5.8S rRNA) is a component of the large subunit of the eukaryotic ribosome. The record is from RNAcentral. Lineage: Eukaryota; Fungi.
CAACUUUUGACAACGGAUCUCUUGGCUCUCGCAACGAUGAAGAACGCAGCGAAAUGCGAUACGUAGUGUGAAUUGCAGAAUUCCGUGAAUCAUUGAAUCUUUGAACGCACAUUGCACUGUCUCUCGGGACAGUAUGCCUGUUUGAGAAUCGAC